GACGAACGCUGGCGGCGUGCUUAACACAUGCAAGUCGAACGGAAAGGCCUGCUUUCCCUUGUGGAUUGCGGGUACUCGAGUGGCGAACGGGUGAGUAACACGUGAGUGAUCUGCCCCCAACUUGGGUAUAAGCCUGGGAAACUGGGUCUAAUUCCCGAUAGGACUGCAGGGUGGUGCCUGUGGUGGAAAACGAUUUUCUAGUGGUUGGGGAUGAGCUCGCGGCCUAUCAGCUUGUUGGUGGGGUAAUGGCCUACCAAGGCGGCGACGGGUAGCCGGCCUGAGAGGGAGGACGGCCACAUUGGGACUGAGAUACGGCCCAGACUCCUACGGGAGGCAGCAGUGGGGAAUAUUGCACAAUGGGCGGAAGCCUGAUGCAGCGACGCCGCGUGGGGGAUGACGGCCUUCGGGUUGUAAACUCCUUUCGACCGCGAGGAAGCCACCUGGUUGGAAGGGUGGUGACGGUAGUGGUAGAAGAAGCACCGGCUAACUACGUG
RNAcentral lists this ribosomal RNA (494 nucleotides) under uncultured bacterium. RNAcentral describes it as "partial 16S ribosomal RNA". It matches the Rfam family "Bacterial small subunit ribosomal RNA", at positions 28 to 507 of the family's 1533-position model. The record is from RNAcentral.